RNAcentral lists this ribosomal RNA (466 nucleotides) under uncultured bacterium. RNAcentral's name for it is "partial 16S ribosomal RNA". It matches the Rfam family "Bacterial small subunit ribosomal RNA", at positions 28 to 507 of the family's 1533-position model. The record is from RNAcentral.
GACGAACGCUGGCGGCGUGCUUAACACAUGCAAGUCGAACGGAAAGGCCCUGCUUGCCGGGUACUCGAGUGGCGAACGGGUGAGUAACACGUGGGUGAUCUGCCCUGCACUUCGGGAUAAGCUUGGGAAACUGGGUCUAAUACCGGAUAGGAGCCAUCUUGAGUGUGGUGGUUGGAAAGUUUUUUCGGUGUAGGAUGAGCUCGCGGCCUAUCAGCUUGUUGGUGGGGUAAUGGCCUACCAAGGCGGCGACGGGUAGCCGGCCUGAGAGGGUGUACGGCCACAUUGGGACUGAGAUACGGCCCAGACUCCUACGGGAGGCAGCAGUGGGGAAUAUUGCACAAUGGGCGCAAGCCUGAUGCAGCGACGCCGCGUGGGGGAUGAAGGCCUUCGGGUUGUAAACUCCUUUCGCUAGGGACGAAGCUUUGUUGUGACGGUACCUAGAUAAGAAGCACCGGCUAACUACGUG